CAAUAGCGUAUAUUAAAGUUGUUGCAGUUAAAAAGCUCGUAGUUGGACUUGUGGUUUGGGGUUGCGGUCCGCCUAACGGUGUGCACUGCGGCCUUUUACCUUCUUCCUGUAGGCCUAUUGUGGUCUUAGUUGAUUGCUUUAGGAAUAUGGGACCUUUACUUUGAAAAAAUUAGAGUGUUCAAAGCAGGCCUUCGCUUGAAUACAUUAGCAUGGAAUAAUGGAAUAGGACUUUGGUUCUAUUUUGUUGGUUUCUAGGACCGAAGUAAUGAUUAAUAGGGACGGUUGGGGGCAUUAGUAUUUAAUUGUCAGAGGUGAAAUUCUUGGAUUUAUGAAAGACUAACUACUGCGAAAGCAUUUGCCAAGGAUGUUUUCAUUAA
RNAcentral lists this ribosomal RNA (377 nucleotides) under uncultured eukaryote. Its description in RNAcentral is "partial 18S ribosomal RNA". It matches the Rfam family "Eukaryotic small subunit ribosomal RNA", at positions 592 to 976 of the family's 1831-position model. The record is from RNAcentral.